Molecule: non-coding RNA, 22 nt
Filed under: Mus musculus (house mouse)
Lineage: Eukaryota; Metazoa; Chordata; Mammalia; Rodentia; Muridae
Also listed under: 1 other name
Source: RNAcentral
UGAGAAUGAAAAAGGGUCAGGG